This 756-nucleotide long non-coding RNA is filed under the name Elaeis guineensis (African oil palm). RNAcentral's name for it is "long non-coding RNA (EGUI_LNC022882)". The record is from RNAcentral. Lineage: Eukaryota; Viridiplantae; Streptophyta; Magnoliopsida; Arecales; Arecaceae.
UUUUUUUUUUUUUGACCUUUUCGAUCCAUACCCCCACCCUAGACUAGAAGGUAGUAUUUUGGUUGCCCUUAUUUCUGAUGGAAUAAUGACUUAUUCUUAUUUAUUUUUCAAACACUAGAUAUAUUCCUGAUGGGCCCAUAGAUUUACAUAUUCCGAUCAAUAAGAAUUAAUUAUGCAUUAAUUAUACAUUAUUUCUAUCUAUCUUGAAUAAACUAUUCCAUAUUGGAUCAUGAAAUAGUUUAUUCUAGAUUUUUAAUGAAAAAUAAUUGUAGUUUAUUUUAAGUUAGAAAAUAACACUACUUUGUUUUCGAUGGACUUCACAGAUUUUUAAUUAAAUAUUAAUUUAAAGAAUAGUUAUUUUAAAAAAAAUUAUAUUUUUAUUUAAAAAAUAUCAAAAGAACUAUCAAAUAUUAUUGAAAAGAAUUAAGCUACUCCAAUAUAGCAAAAACAUAAAGCCCUCGUACUUCAUGCCAGAGCCUUACCGUAGGUAUACUUUCGUCUGAUUCUUUUGGAAGGUCAAAUCGCAAUUUAUUAGAAGAUAGCUGCGGGCCUCUUGUUGCUUUAACCUUCAUGUGGACCUCUAUUAAACUGACCGAUGGACUUGUCCAAUUCAACAAUUAAUAUAAAAUUUUAUUAUAAAAUUUUAAAAAUAUUUUAAUUAUUUUAUUAUUUAUUUAUUUUUAAUUAUUGUAUAAUUAUUCGGAUUUUAACCAAUUGAAAUGCUAAUAUAUAUGAUUAAUAUAAUAAAUAUUUUAC